AGAGUUCGAUUAUGGCUCAGGAUGAACGCUGACAGAAUGCUUAACACAUGCAAGUCUACUUGAAUUCUCUUCGGAGAUAGUAAGGUGGCGGACGGGUGAGUAACACGUAAAGAACUUGCCCUGCAGUCUGGGACAACUAUUGGAAACGAUAGCUAAUACCGGAUAUUAUGCGAGGACCGCAUGGUCCUUUCAUGAAAGCUAUAUGCGCUGCAGGAGAGCUUUGCGUCCCAUUAGUUAGUUGGUGAGGUAACGGCUCACCAAGACCGCGAUGGGUAGCCGGCCUGAGAGGGUGAACGGCCACAAGGGGACUGAGACACGGCCCUU
RNAcentral lists this ribosomal RNA (324 nucleotides) under uncultured bacterium. Its description in RNAcentral is "bacterial SSU rRNA". It matches the Rfam family "Bacterial small subunit ribosomal RNA", at positions 8 to 334 of the family's 1533-position model. The record is from RNAcentral.